AAAGAAAGUAAGCAAGGGCGCAUGGCGGAUGCCUUGGCUCUCGGAGGCGAUGAAGGACGUGAUAAGCUGCGAUAAGCUUCGGGCAGGUGCAAAUAACCUUUGAUCCGAAGAUUUCCGAAUGGGACAACCCGGCAUUCUGAAGGAAUGUCAUCCAUCCUAGAUGGAAGCUAACGCAGGGAACUGAAACAUCUUAGUACCUGUAGGAAAAGAAAAUAAUAAUGAUUCCCCUAGUAGUGGCGAGCGAACGGGGAUUAGCCCAAACCAAUGUUGUUACGGCAAUAUUGGGGUUGUAGGACCACGAUGUCGCAAGAAAUUUAGUGAGAAGAACCCUUUGGAAAAUGGGACCAUAGACGGUGAUAGUCCGGUAUUCGAAGCUAAAUGAAGCGUAGUGGUAUCCUGAGUAGCGCGGGACACGAGGAAUCUUGCGUGAAUCUGCCGGGACCAUCCGGUAAGGCUAAAUACUCCCGAGAGACCGAUAGCGAACCAGUACUGUGAAGGAAAGGUGAAAAGCACUUCGAAUAGAAGAGUGAAAUAGUCCCUGAAACCGUGCGCCUACAAGCGGUCGGAGCNNNNNNNNNNAGAAGAGUGAAAUAGUCCCUGAAACCGUGCGCCUACAAGCGGUCGGAGCUGUGUAAACAGUGACGGCGUGCCUUUUGCAUAAUGAACCUACGAGUUACUUUUUCCGGCAAGGUUAAGGAUCUUGAGAUCCGCAGCCGAAGCGAAAGCGAGUCUUAACAGGGCGAUUAGUCGGAAGGAGUAGACGCGAAACCAAGUGAUCUACCCUUGGUCAGGUUGAAGGUUAGGUAACACUAACUGGAGGACCGAACCGAUAAGCGUUGAAAAGCUUCCGGAUGAACUGAGGGUGGGGGUGAAAGGCUAAUCAAACUUGGAGAUAGCUCGUACUCCCCGAAAUGCAUUUAGGUGCAGCCUUGGGAAUUACUACUGUGAGGUAGAGCGACUGAUAAGAUGCGAGGGCUUCACCGCCUAUCAAGUCUUGAUAAACUCCGAAUGCGCAGUAGUUCGAUCCCAGGAGUGAGGGCAUGGGUGCUAAGGUCCAUGUCCUAAAGGAGAAGAAUCCAGACCAUCAGCUAAGGUCCCGAAAUAAUUGCUAAGUUGAACUAACGAAGUCAGAUUGCUAAGACAGCUAGGAUGUUGGCUUGGAAGCAGCCAUUCAUUUAAAGAGUGCGUAACAGCUCACUAGUCGAGGAGUUUGGCGUGGAUAAUAAUCGGGCAUUAAGCAAUUUACCGAAGCUAUGGGAUCAGUAAUGAUCGGUAGGGGAGCAUUCCACUCUGCGUCGAAGGUGAAGCGUGAGCUUUGCUGGAGCGUGUGGAAAAGCAAAUGUAGGUAUAAGUAACGAUAAAGGGGGUGAGAAACCCCCUCGCCGAAAGACUAAGGUUUCCUGAUCAACGCUAAUCGGAUCAGGGUUAGUCGGGUCCUAAGGCUCAGCCGAACGGUGAGGCCGAUGGCAGAACAGGUUAAUAUUCCUGUACUACCUUAAGGAGUGACGUGGAGACGGAGGAGUGACAGCGCCGCGGACUGACGGAAUAGUCCGUUGAAGGGUGUAGAUGUUGAUUAUCCCAGGCAAAUCCAGGAUAAGAGUCGAACCUGAUAGUAUACCAAAUUCUUCGGAAUAAGGUAAUAGUGCGUGUAAGCAUACUCCCAAGAAAAUCCGCUAAACUUAAUCUUUAAGGUACCCGUACCGCAAACGGACACACGUAGUCGGGUUGAAUAUACUAAGGCGCUUGAGUGAUUCACGGUUAAGGAACUAGGCAAAUUGACCCUGUAACUUCGGGAUAAAGGGUCCCAACGAGAGUUGGGCGCAGAGAAUAGGUCCAGGCAACUGUUUAACAAAAACACAGGGCUGUGCUAAAUUGAAAGAUUACGUAUACAGCCUGACACCUGCCCGGUGCUGGAAGGUUAAGAGGAGAUGUCAUCGCAAGAGAAGCAUUGAAUUGAAGCCCCAGUAAACGGCGGCCGUAACUAUAACGGUCCUAAGGUAGCGAAAUUCCUUGUCGGGUAAGUUCCGACCUGCACGAAUGGUGUAAUGAUCUGGACACUGUCUCAACCGUGAGCUCAGUGAAAUUGUAGUAUCGGUGAAGAUGCCGAUUACCCGCGAUGGGACGAAAAGACCCCGUGAACCUUUACUAUAGCUUAACAUUGAAUUUGGGUAAUUGAUGUGUAGGAUAGGCCGGAGACUUUGAAGCAGGUACGCCAGUAUUUGUGGAGUCGCUGUUGAAAUACGGCCCUUUGAUUAUUUGAGUUCUAACUCGUAGAUGCGAGGACACUGUUUGGUGGGUAGUUUGACUGGGGUGGUCGCCUCCAAAAGUGUAACGGAGGCUUCUAAAGGUGCCCUCAGGACGAUUGGUAACCGUCCGUAGAGUGUAAUGGCAUAAGGGCGCUUGACUGGGAGACAGACAAGUCGAUCAGGUAGGAAACUAGAGCAUAGUGAUCCGGUGUUUCCGUAUGGAAGGGACAUCGCUCAAAGGAUAAAAGGUACUCCGGGGAUAACAGGCUGAUCCCUCCCAAGAGCUCAUAUCGACGGAGGGGUUUGGCACCUCGAUGUCGGCUCGUCACAUCCUGGGGCUGGAGAAGGUCCCAAGGGUUGGGCUGUUCGCCCAUUAAAGUGGCACGCGAGCUGGGUUCAGAACGUCGUGAGACAGUUCGGUCUCUAUCUAUCGUGGGCGUAUGAAAUUUGCGUGGCUCUGACACUAGUACGAGAGGACCGUGUUGGACUGACCGCUGGUUUACCAGUUGUGCCGCCAGGUGCAUUGCUGGGUAUCUAAGUCGGGAUUGGAUAAGUGCUGAAAGCAUCUAAGUACGAAGCCAGCCACAAGAUUAGAUUUCUUAGGGUCGUCAAAGACGAUGACGUUGAUAGGAUGCAGGUGUAAAGGUGGUAACAUCAAAGCCGAGCAUUACUAAUUGCCCGUUCACUUUCUUU
Molecule: ribosomal RNA, 2939 nt
Filed under: Bacteroides ovatus
Lineage: Bacteria; Pseudomonadati; Bacteroidota; Bacteroidia; Bacteroidales; Bacteroidaceae
Description: bacterial LSU rRNA
Rfam family: Bacterial large subunit ribosomal RNA
Source: RNAcentral